UUGAAUAAACCUGGCUUGCUGAUGCUGGUCUCUCCGGAGGCAUGUGCUCGCUUGUCAUCUUUAUAUCUCCACCUGUGCACCUAUUGUAGAACUGGGAUGUGGGACUGCUGUGCAUCUUGCGAUGCCGUCUUUCCUUGUUUCUCUCCAGUGCUACGUUUUUCAUACACACCUAAAAUGUAAACGAAUGUUGAUCAUGGGUCUUUGUACCUAUAAAACAAAUAUA
This 223-nucleotide unclassified non-coding RNA is filed under the name uncultured Simocybe. Its description in RNAcentral is "sequence contains ITS1". The record is from RNAcentral. Lineage: Eukaryota; Fungi; Basidiomycota; Agaricomycetes; Agaricales; Crepidotaceae.